GACGAACGCUGGCGGCGUGCUUAAUACAUGCAAGUCAACUUGACUUUAGAUAGCAAUAUCGAAAAGUAGGGUGGCGCACGGGUGCGUAACGCGUAGGUAAUCUGCCCUGAGGUCUGACAUAACCCGUCGAAAGGCGGGCUAACAUCAGAUGAUAUAUAAUCACGACAUCGUGGGAAUAUCAAAUCUUCGGAGCCUUGGGAUGAGCCUGCGUCUGAUUAGGUAGUUGGCGGAGUAAUAGCCCACCAAGCCUACGAUCAGUAGCUGGUCUGAGAGGAUGAUCAGCCACACUGGAACUGAGACACGGUCCAGACUCCUACGGGAGGCAGCAGUAAGGAAUAUUGCUCAAUGGGGAAACCCUGAAGCAGCAACGCCGCGUGAA
Molecule: ribosomal RNA, 379 nt
Filed under: uncultured bacterium
Lineage: Bacteria
Description: bacterial SSU rRNA
Rfam family: Bacterial small subunit ribosomal RNA
Source: RNAcentral